UACGUAGGGGGCGAGCGUUGUCCGGAUUUACUGGGCGUAAAACGCUUGUAGGCGGCCACGCCAAGUCGGAUGUGAAAUCUCCCGGCUUAACUGGGAGGGGUCAUGCGAUACUGGCGGGCUUGAGGUCCGGAGGGGUGAGUGGAACUCCUGGUGGAGCGGUGAAAUGCGUAGAUAUCAGGAGGAACACCGGUGGCGAAAGCGGCUCACUGGCCGGAAUCUGACACUGAGGUGCCAAAGCUAGGGUAGCAAACGGG
Molecule: ribosomal RNA, 254 nt
Filed under: uncultured bacterium
Lineage: Bacteria
Description: partial 16S ribosomal RNA
Rfam family: Bacterial small subunit ribosomal RNA
Source: RNAcentral